AGUGAACGCUGGCGGUAGGCCUAACACAUGCAAGUCGAACGGCAGCACAGUAAGAGCUUGCUCUUACGGGUGGCGAGUGGCGGACGGGUGAGGAAUACAUCGGAAUCUACUUUUUCGUGGGGGAUAACGUAGGGAAACUUACGCUAAUACCGCAUACGACCUACGGGUGAAAGCAGGGGAUCUUCAGACCUUGCGCGAUUGAAUGAGCCGAUGUCGGAUAGCUAGUUGGCGGGGUAAAGGCCCACCAAGGCGACGAUCCGUAGCUGGUCUGAGAGGAUGAUCAGCCACACUGGAACUGAGACACGGUCCAGACUCCUACGGGAGGCAGCAGUGGGGAAUAUUGGACAAUGGGCGCAAGCCUGAUCCAGCCAUACCGCGUGGGUGAAGAAGGCCUUCGGGUUGUAAAGCCCUUUUGUUGGGAAAGAAAAGCAGCAGGUUAAUACCCCGCUGUUCUGACGGUACCCAAAGAAUAAGCACCGGCUAACUUCGUG
RNAcentral lists this ribosomal RNA (491 nucleotides) under uncultured bacterium. RNAcentral's name for it is "partial 16S ribosomal RNA". It matches the Rfam family "Bacterial small subunit ribosomal RNA", at positions 29 to 507 of the family's 1533-position model. The record is from RNAcentral.